RNAcentral lists this ribosomal RNA (460 nucleotides) under uncultured bacterium. Its description in RNAcentral is "partial 16S ribosomal RNA". It matches the Rfam family "Bacterial small subunit ribosomal RNA", at positions 338 to 795 of the family's 1533-position model. The record is from RNAcentral.
CCUACGGGGGGCAGCAGUGAGGAAUAUUGGUCAAUGGACGAGAGUCUGAACCAGCCAAGUAGCGUGAAGGAUGACUGCCCUAUGGGUUGUAAACUUCUUUUAUAUGGGAAUAAAAUGUUCCACGUGUGGGAUUUUGUAUGUACCAUAUGAAUAAGGAUCGGCUAACUCCGUGCCAGCAGCCGCGGUAAUACGGAGGAUCCGAGCGUUAUCCGGAUUUAUUGGGUUUAAAGGGAGCGUAGGUGGAUUGUUAAGUCAGUUGUGAAAGUUUGCGGCUCAACCGUAAAAUUGCAGUUGAAACUGGCAGUCUUGAGUACAGUAGAGGUGGGCGGAAUUCGUGGUGUAGCGGUGAAAUGCUUAGACAUCACGAAGAACUCCGAUUGCGAAGGCAGUUCACUGGACUGCAACUGACACUGAGGCUCGAAAGUGUGGGUAUCAAACAGGAUUAGAUACCCUAGUAGUC